CCCCCCCCAAAUUUCCUUAUCCACCUGUGCACCCUUUGUAGGCCCUCGAAAGAGGAUCUACGUCUCUCUAUCUACGCUUUUUUGCUACGCAUGUCCAGAAUGUAUACAAUCUUUACAACUUUCAGCAAUGGAUCUCUUGGCUCUCGCAUCGAUGAAGAACGCAGCGAAUUGCGAUAAGUAAUGUGAAUUGCAGAUUUUCAGUGAAUCAUCGAAUCUUUGAACGCACCUUGCGCUCCUUGGUAUUCCGAGGAGCAUGCCUGUUUGAGUGUCAUCGAAUUCUCAACCGUGUCUUGAAUUAGGCAUGGCUUGGACUUGGGGGUUGCUGGCAUGCUGUGUCGGCUCUCCUGAAAUGCAUUAGCGAUGGUCAGCAAGCCUGACGUGCACGGCCUUUUCGACGUGAUAACGAUCGUCGUGGGCUGGAGCGUAGGGCGAGCGGUGAAUUGCUUCCAAUCCAAGCCUCAGUUACUAGUCAGCCGACGAACGCGAGGCUGAUCUUGGACCGUUACUAGUUGGCUGUGAGGCCGAUGAACACACCAUUUUUGAACUC
Molecule: ribosomal RNA, 547 nt
Filed under: Boletus sinoedulis
Lineage: Eukaryota; Fungi; Basidiomycota; Agaricomycetes; Boletales; Boletaceae
Description: eukaryotic LSU rRNA
Rfam family: 5.8S ribosomal RNA (bases 117-271)
Source: RNAcentral